CAUAUCCUAUUCCUACGUGCUCUCCAACCCCACGCCCGACCUCAGCGGCGACUUCGACGUCGACCAGCCGCCCAUCGCGCAAACGCCCCAUGCCUCCCCCCGCCUGCUCAGUGCCCAGGAGCUCGGCCGACGACGCCACAAACGCCGACAAGUAUAGCGCGCCGUGCGCCGCGGCCGUGCCCUUGAUCUCCUCGAUCUGGUCGUGCGUUAGCGCGAAGGACGCGAUCAGCGGAGACGGAGGUGGAAGCCCCUGCGCUGUCACUACGCCGACGCCUCGAAGAUCGGCAUGGUGUUGGCCGGCUUUAGGUCGGCGCGGGAGAUCCCAUCGGCGGCAAGCGACGCGCGCGCCGGCAACGCAGCAGCCUGGUCCGAGUAGUGGCGUAGGCGGGUGAGCGCGUUCUUGUGAGGAGUGGAUCGCUGGAGAACAACCUGCUCCGUUUUUCAAUCGCGUCCUGGUAAAGGAAUCGAUCGCCGGAGAACGAAGUGUUCUAUUCUUCAAUCUUGUACCCAGUUCUGAAGUUUGAUUUCUGCAAUCUUGUACGUAAUUCUGAAGUUUGCUUUUCUCCUGCUAUCUUCCCCAUGAAAUGGCUCAAUGGAAUUGAUGGAAUCAGGAACAUCAUAUUGCUUUCAAGUUGAUCAACCUCUGCCCUUUAUUCAUGGAAGAAGCAGCCGAGUGAGGACGACCUGCUCUCUUCUCUAUCUGGUAUAUUGUCCGGUUUGGUACCUCAUGUUGGCAUGGAAUUUAAAAAUUCAGAUGAAGCUUGGGCAUUUUGGCUUAUCUAUGGUCGUAAAAAGGGCUUUGGGGUCAGGAAAAGGUGCACGAACAAGAGAUCCGCCGAUGGCAAGGUUACUUCAUGCCAAUUUAUUUGUGCAAGGAAAUGGAAUGCUUAAUCUCUUUUGCCAAACAAAAUUCAGUUAUCCUUAUCAAGUCUGAAAAUGUACAAGUAGCAAGUGGAAUGCUACAGAGACAUGGCCUAAUUCAGUUAACAAGUUUGAAAACUAGAUUCAGUUAUCAGCUAAUCGGCCUGCAGCGGUGCGGAAACGACGGCGUGGUUCAGCCGACCACCACCAUGGAGAUGGGUGUGCAGGUGCUCGACAUGAGGUUGCUGCGUGCGUACGCCGAGCUGUCCACCACGGGCGGUGACUCGAGGAGGCCGACCAACUGGACGCCCUUAGACCCGCAUGAAGGACGGGAGCCCAUGUAGCGCGCGUGGCCUGUAUCCUGGACGCUGCCGACCACAGGGGCUCCCGCUGCACGUGCUGCCAUGUAUCCUGGCCGCCUCCGACCAGGGUGCUCCCUCUGCGUGUUGCUCUGUAUCCCGGCCGCCGCCGACCACGGGGGCUCCCGCUGCACGUGUUGCUCUGUGCCCACGGCUCCUUUUGCGAACGAAUGGCGACGGCGAGGAUGCGCCGAGAGCUUGUUCGACCACGGCGGAGAAGGGGAAUUCCAGGGGAACAAGGAGAUAUCCAUUUUGUUCUUUUCUGUGUUUAUUGUGGGCUGCUGACGGGCCGAAGCGUCGCUUCUUUUCAUUGCGAGUGAAUGCUUCUGCCAUCGGAUGGCUUACUAACGGGGUAUACGCACAUCACGUCCCUCUGCAGUAGGCUGAGCUACGUUGGAGGAUCUCGAUCCGUAUAGAUAGGUGGGAGAGCUUUGAGAUUGCUAUACGGCUGUAUAGUUUGGUCCAUUCAGCAAAAAAAUUGGACUUCUGUAGUGUUGUACAUAUGCAAAAACUUUUGAAGGUGCGUGUCAUCAACUUAUGGAUUCCUUUUUACUGCA
This is a long non-coding RNA of Triticum dicoccoides, 1777 nucleotides long. RefSeq lists it as uncharacterized. The record is from RefSeq and is a predicted model, not a curated record. The transcript is spliced from 2 exons. Lineage: Eukaryota; Viridiplantae; Streptophyta; Magnoliopsida; Poales; Poaceae.